This is a non-coding RNA of Danio rerio (zebrafish), 1694 nucleotides long. The record is from RefSeq and is a predicted model, not a curated record. Lineage: Eukaryota; Metazoa; Chordata; Actinopteri; Cypriniformes; Danionidae.
CUCUUUUAUGCCAUAUAAAAUGUUCCUUAAGAUCAUCUUGUUUCUCAAGUCUUAAACUAUAAAUUUUAAGAUUUGUUCUUUAUAAACCUCUGCUUUCUGAGAGCCUGCACUCUGAUUGGCCAGAUGGCCCAGUCUGUUGUUAUUGGUCAACUUAUAGUGUGUAUUGGGGGAAAAACACUCAUUACCAUAUAUGACAAGUACUUCCCUCUCAGUGAUUGUAACAGCUGUACUCAGUAUUAUGAUAAUAUUUGGAAAGCCCAUAUUUAAUUUAAACUAUAAAAAGUAUGCAGUUGGGGACCAUUUCAGCUAUAAUCUCUGACUUCAUGAGCUUUCUGUAAACCUAUCAUUUUCCACAAGUAUGAACUUUCUUAAUGCUAAAUAUUGACAUAUCUGCAAUUAAAUGUCAUUUGUAAGUUAUUCUAUCAUUAAUGCUGGUCUAAGUGUGUCUCUCUAUAGUUUCUCCCUCAGUGAUUGCAGUUGCUGUUAUUUUGACUGUAUUGUUUGUUCUGAUGAUUGUCAUUGUUAUCUGGAUGAGAUGUCAAAGAAGAGCUGACAAUGCAAAAGAGACUAAUGAGCCUGGGGUCACAGAUACAAACACAAGUUACAAAGAAACAAUCAACGUGCCCAGUCAUCCCUCUCCCAACAUUAAUGAGCAGAAAGAUGAUGCGAAUUAUUCAGAGGUUGUCACAUACUGUAAACUUCAAGCCAACAAGGUGAAUGAUACAGUGACUUAUUCUUCCAUCCGAGGAGAAAAGGCUAAAGCACAGGAAAACUGUAGUGAACUUUAUGCCUCGGUUAACAAGAUCAGACAUUAAUGAUAAAAAAAGUUUCAUAAAAGUUUAAUAAGAGUAUCAUACCAUUGUAUAUACUGUUUUAUAUGAUCAAAUCUAGGUGUUGUUUUUUUUUUAUUAUCAGUCUUUUGGCUUGUAUCAUGUUUGUAUCAUGAAUAGAUGUACAACGUCAUUUGGAGUACAGUUUUAGAUCAAUAUCCUCUUUAAUGGCUAAAGCUGAAAGACUUGUUCCUCCUAACAAAAACUAGCUAGAGGAACUUUGAGAAGACAAAUAAACCUCUGUGACAACAAGAUCUGCAGUGUCAGCUGAACAAUUUCCAAUUUCCAGUGAUUGCUUAAAUACAAUUACCAGUCGACAAAUUUCACAUCAAUCUAUUUAUAGGUGUUAAGAUUCAGUUCAACUAGUGAAACAUUUGCCAGAAUUAUUAUUAUUUUUAAAUUGUGACAGCAGAUAGACAUUUUGUUCUGCUUUAGGAGUCGAAAGAAAUCUUGAGUUAUUUUUGUUUUAGGAACCAUAUUAUAGUGUUGUGUUCUCAUAUAUACAACCCCAAAUCUGUAUGUCUGCAGUUCUUGCCUAUCUCCAAUAUAGAAUGUGUGUCACAUUUUAAAGCGCAAAGUGCAACACCAAAGACCCUGUACUGUUGCCUACCUAAAGACUUGUUUGCAGGAAAAAUGGGACAAAAUUACACCUGAAACACUUCAUCACUUGGUGUCUUCACUCUUUAAGUGUUGUGAAUAGGAAUGGCAAUAUUACAAAGUGGUGAAUGCUCUACUGUUAUACCUUUUUUUUUUAAUGUGUUGAACCAAAAUUGGAAUACAUGUUUACAAACAAUAACAAUCUUGAGCAACACAUUAAGUAAUGUGUUGUUGUAUUUUCUGCAAUGAAAUAAAAGUUAAAGUAAG